Long non-coding RNA from Culex quinquefasciatus (southern house mosquito), 530 nucleotides. RefSeq lists it as uncharacterized. NCBI's taxonomy places the organism in Eukaryota, Metazoa, Arthropoda, Insecta, Diptera, Culicidae. The transcript has 3 exons. The record is from RefSeq and is a predicted model, not a curated record.
UGAGAGAGAGCGAGGAGAAAGAGCGCAAAAAGCGAUGUAAACAAACAAGCACAAGUAGUAGGAAAAAAGUGAAAAACGUUUACGAGCAGCUAGACGCGCGUGAAUAGGGGUUAAAAGGUGCGCUUUUGUGCAGUUUCGCGAGUUUGGUGCAUUUUGUGCGUGCAACGAGAAGGUUGACGAUCACGUACAGGUAGAAGCUACGAUCACGAACAGUACGGUCGCAAGCGGUUGAUUAGACGUUCCGACGGGACGUAGAAGGCCAGUUGACCUCGAACAGCACAAGAACGACACAGUACAGGACAGAAUUGGAUUCCGGCGGAGUCAGCAGGGAAUUUCAAUUGAACUUGAUUGUGGAUAGGACGGUUACAAGGAGCAGGAAAAGAUUUCUGGAAAGGAUCAAACUAAAAAAUGUAAGGAAACACACACACACACACAUGUACAUUUACAAACAUACUAAAAACUGUUCUUAAAUACAUUCAACAGUUUGAUCUGCUGCGAAGCGGCUGAUUCACAAAAUUUCGUUGGAUUAU